This 329-nucleotide ribosomal RNA is filed under the name uncultured bacterium. Its description in RNAcentral is "bacterial SSU rRNA". It matches the Rfam family "Bacterial small subunit ribosomal RNA", at positions 467 to 795 of the family's 1533-position model. The record is from RNAcentral.
GGGUGACGGUACUCCCAGAAGAAGGUCCGGCUAACUACGUGCCAGCAGCCGCGGUAAUACGUAGGGACCGAGCGUUGUCCGGAAUCAUUGGGCGUAAAGAGCGUGUAGGCGGCCUGGUAGGUCUCGUGUGAAAGCCCGCGGCUCAACCGCGGAUCCGCACGGGAAACCCCCAGGCUCGAGUCCGGAAGAGGAGAGUGGAAUUCCAGGUGUAGCGGUGAAAUGCGCAGAUAUCUGGAAGAACACCCGUAGCGAAGGCGGCUCUCUGGGACGGUACUGACGCUGAGACGCGAAAGCGUGGGGAGCAAACAGGAUUAGAUACCCGGGUAGUC